CCUACGGGAGGCAGCAGUGGGGAAUAUUGCGCAAUGGGGGAAACCCUGACGCAGCAACGCCGCGUGAGUGAGGAAGGACUUCGGUCUGUAAAGCUCUGUUAAUGUGGAAAAAUGGUUAGUGGUCUAAUAGGCCAUUGAUUUGAUGGUACACAUAGAGGAAGCACCGGCUAACUUCGUGCCAGCAGCCGCGGUAAUACGAAGGGUGCAAGCGUUGUUCGGAUUUAUUGGGCGUAAAGCGCGCGUAGGCGGACCUGCAAGUCAGAUGUGAAAUCUCGGGGCUCAACCCCGAAACUGCGUCUGAAACUACAGGUCUAGAAUCUUGGAGGGGGAAGGGGAAUUUCACAUGUAGGGGUAAAAUCCGUAGAUAUGUGAAGGAACACCAGAGGCGAAGGCGCCUUCCUGGACAAGUAUUGACGCUGAGGCGCGAAAGCGUGGGGAUCAAACAGGAUUAGAUACCCCUGUAGUC
Molecule: ribosomal RNA, 466 nt
Filed under: uncultured bacterium
Lineage: Bacteria
Description: bacterial SSU rRNA
Rfam family: Bacterial small subunit ribosomal RNA
Source: RNAcentral